AGGGCUGCGCGCAGGACGGAGGGCGCGCGACAGGGAGAAGCCGCGGAGGCUUGAGUGCUGCGGGAGGCGUGUGCGCGCUCCCGCGACCGAGCCUCCCCGCGCCCGCGCCCCUCUCCCCGCCCCGCCCCUCCCCGCGCCCCCGCCCCCGCCCGCGCGUUUUCUCCUCCCUCCUCCCCGCCCCGCGCCCGCCCAGCCCCCGGAAUCUGUGCAGCUGUCGCCGUCCAGGCUGCAGAUUCCUCCAGUCCCUCCCCCGGCCGCCUCUCUGCCCGGAGCGAGCGCGCAGCCCAGCGCAGCAGCGCCUACUGGUCCCGUCCUGUGAGCCCCGGCCCCAGCCGCCGACAGCCCUGCGAAGUCGCCUCCCAGGCCUACCGGCCCGGCCGCCGAGGAGCGGGAGGAGGACGGGACCCCGGCCCCCACCCCCCACCCCACCUCCGGAGAACUCUGAAAAGUAACUGAUGUGGACAAGCAGCUGAGACAGUCAAGAUGACGACCACGGUAGCCACAGACUAUGACAACAUUGAGAUCCAGCAGCAGUACAGUGAUGUGAACAACCGCUGGGAUGUGGAUGACUGGGACAAUGAGAACAGCUCUGCAAGGCUCUUUGAGCGCUCCCGCAUCAAGGCCCUGGCAGAUGAGCGUGAAGCUGUACAGAAGAAGACCUUCACCAAGUGGGUCAAUUCCCACCUUGCGAGAGUGUCCUGCCGAAUCACAGACCUGUACACGGACCUUCGAGAUGGACGGAUGCUCAUCAAGCUACUGGAGGUCCUCUCUGGAGAGAGGCUGCCUAAACCCACUAAGGGACGGAUGCGGAUCCACUGUCUGGAGAAUGUCGACAAGGCUCUUCAAUUCCUGAAAGAGCAGAGAGUCCAUCUUGAGAACAUGGGCUCCCAUGACAUUGUGGAUGGAAACCACCGGCUGACCCUCGGCCUCAUCUGGACAAUUAUUCUGCGCUUCCAGAUCCAGGAUAUUAGUGUGGAGACUGAAGAUAACAAAGAGAAAAAGUCUGCUAAGGAUGCAUUGCUGCUGUGGUGCCAGAUGAAGACAGCUGGGUACCCCAAUGUCAACAUUCACAAUUUCACCACUAGCUGGAGGGAUGGCAUGGCCUUCAAUGCACUGAUACAUAAACAUCGGCCUGACCUGAUAGAUUUUGAUAAACUGAAGAAAUCUAAUGCACACUACAAUCUGCAGAAUGCAUUUAACCUGGCAGAGCAGCACCUUGGCCUCACUAAACUGUUAGACCCUGAAGAUAUCAGUGUGGACCACCCUGAUGAGAAGUCUAUCAUCACAUACGUGGUGACUUACUACCACUACUUCUCCAAGAUGAAGGCCUUGGCUGUCGAAGGAAAGCGCAUUGGAAAGGUGCUUGAUAAUGCUAUAGAAACAGAGAAAAUGAUUGAGAAGUACGAGUCACUUGCUUCUGACCUUCUGGAGUGGAUUGAACAAACCAUCAUCAUCCUAAACAACCGCAAAUUUGCUAAUUCACUGGUUGGGGUCCAGCAGCAGCUCCAGGCAUUCAACACGUACCGCACAGUGGAGAAACCACCUAAGUUUACUGAGAAGGGGAAUUUGGAGGUGCUCCUUUUCACAAUUCAGAGCAAGAUGCGAGCGAAUAAUCAGAAGGUCUACAUGCCCCGCGAGGGGAAGCUCAUCUCUGACAUCAACAAGGCCUGGGAAAGACUGGAAAAAGCAGAACAUGAGAGAGAACUGGCUCUGCGGAAUGAGCUCAUACGGCAGGAAAAACUGGAACAACUCGCCCGAAGAUUUGAUCGCAAGGCAGCUAUGAGGGAGACAUGGCUGAGUGAAAACCAGCGUCUUGUGUCUCAGGACAACUUUGGAUUUGACCUUCCCGCUGUUGAGGCUGCUACCAAAAAACACGAGGCCAUUGAGACAGACAUCGCUGCAUAUGAAGAACGAGUUCAGGCCGUGGUGGCUGUGGCCAGGGAACUUGAAGCCGAGAACUACCAUGACAUCAAGCGCAUCACAGCGAGGAAGGACAAUGUCAUCCGGCUCUGGGAAUACUUGCUGGAACUGCUCAGGGCCAGGAGGCAGCGUCUUGAGAUGAACCUGGGAUUGCAAAAGAUAUUCCAGGAAAUGCUUUAUAUUAUGGACUGGAUGGAUGAAAUGAAGGUGCUAUUGCUGUCUCAAGACUAUGGCAAACACUUACUUGGUGUUGAAGACCUGUUACAGAAGCAUGCCCUGGUUGAAGCAGACAUUGCAAUCCAAGCAGAGCGUGUAAGAGGUGUGAAUGCCUCUGCCCAGAAGUUUGCAACAGAUGGGGAAGGCUACAAGCCAUGUGACCCCCAGGUAAUUCGAGACCGUGUUGCCCACAUGGAGUUCUGCUAUCAAGAGCUUUGUCAGCUGGCUGCCGAGCGUAGGGCUCGCCUGGAAGAGUCCCGUCGCCUCUGGAAGUUCUUCUGGGAGAUGGCAGAAGAGGAAGGCUGGAUACGAGAGAAGGAGAAGAUCCUGUCCUCUGAUGAUUACGGGAAAGACUUGACCAGUGUCAUGCGCCUGCUGAGCAAGCACCGGGCAUUUGAGGAUGAGAUGAGUGGCCGUAGUGGCCAUUUUGAGCAGGCCAUUAAAGAAGGUGAAGACAUGAUUGCAGAGGAACACUUUGGAUCGGAAAAGAUCCGUGAGAGAAUCAUUUAUAUCCGGGAGCAGUGGGCCAACCUGGAACAGCUCUCAGCCAUUAGGAAGAAGCGCCUAGAGGAAGCCUCAUUACUGCACCAGUUCCAGGCUGAUGCUGAUGAUAUUGAUGCUUGGAUGUUAGAUAUACUCAAGAUUGUCUCCAGCAAUGAUGUGGGCCAUGAUGAGUACUCCACGCAGUCUCUGGUCAAGAAGCAUAAAGAUGUAGCAGAAGAGAUCACCAACUACAGGCCCACUAUUGACACACUGCAUGAGCAAGCCAGUGCCCUUCCACAAGCACAUGCAGAGUCUCCAGAUGUGAAGGGCCGGCUGGCAGGAAUUGAGGAGCGCUGCAAGGAGAUGGCAGAGUUAACACGGCUAAGGAAGCAGGCUCUGCAGGACACCCUGGCCCUGUACAAGAUGUUCAGUGAGGCUGAUGCCUGUGAGCUCUGGAUUGACGAGAAGGAGCAGUGGCUCAACAACAUGCAGAUCCCAGAGAAGCUGGAGGACCUGGAAGUCAUCCAGCACAGAUUUGAGAGCCUAGAACCAGAAAUGAACAACCAGGCUUCCCGGGUUGCUGUGGUGAACCAGAUUGCACGGCAGCUGAUGCACAAUGGCCACCCCAGUGAAAAGGAAAUCAGAGCUCAGCAAGACAAACUCAACACGAGGUGGAGUCAGUUCAGAGAACUGGUGGACAGGAAAAAGGAUGCUCUUCUGUCUGCCCUGAGCAUCCAGAACUACCACCUCGAGUGCAAUGAAACCAAAUCCUGGAUCCGGGAGAAGACCAAGGUCAUCGAGUCUACCCAAGACCUUGGCAAUGACCUGGCAGGUGUCAUGGCCCUGCAGCGCAAGCUGACUGGCAUGGAACGAGACUUGGUAGCCAUUGAGGCGAAGCUGAGUGACCUGCAGAAAGAAGCUGAGAAGCUGGAGUCCGAGCACCCUGACCAGGCUCAAGCUAUCCUGUCUCGGCUGGCCGAGAUCAGUGAUGUGUGGGAGGAAAUGAAGACAACCCUGAAGAACCGAGAGGCCUCCCUGGGAGAGGCCAGCAAGCUGCAGCAGUUUCUGCGGGACUUGGACGACUUCCAGUCUUGGCUCUCCAGGACCCAGACUGCUAUCGCCUCAGAGGACAUGCCCAAUACCCUCACUGAGGCAGAGAAGCUUCUCACACAGCACGAGAAUAUCAAAAAUGAGAUCGACAAUUAUGAGGAAGACUACCAGAAGAUGCGGGACAUGGGCGAGAUGGUCACCCAGGGGCAGACUGAUGCCCAGUAUAUGUUUCUGCGGCAGCGGCUGCAGGCCUUAGACACUGGCUGGAAUGAGCUCCACAAAAUGUGGGAGAACAGGCAAAACCUCCUCUCCCAGUCCCAUGCCUACCAGCAGUUCCUUAGGGACACCAAACAAGCUGAAGCUUUUCUUAAUAACCAGGAGUAUGUUUUGGCUCAUACUGAAAUGCCCACCACCCUGGAAGGAGCUGAAGCAGCCAUUAAAAAGCAGGAGGACUUCAUGACCACCAUGGAUGCCAACGAGGAGAAGAUCAAUGCUGUUGUGGAGACUGGCCGAAGACUGGUGAGCGAUGGGAACAUCAACUCCGACCGCAUCCAGGAGAAGGUGGACUCUAUUGACGACAGACACAGGAAGAAUCGAGAAGCAGCCAGUGAACUUCUGAUGAGGUUAAAGGACAACCGUGAUCUACAGAAGUUCCUGCAAGAUUGUCAAGAGCUGUCCCUCUGGAUCAAUGAAAAGAUGCUUACAGCUCAAGACAUGUCUUAUGAUGAAGCCAGAAAUCUGCACAGUAAAUGGUUAAAGCAUCAAGCAUUUAUGGCGGAACUUGCAUCCAACAAAGAAUGGCUUGACAAAAUUGAGAAGGAAGGAAUGCAGCUUAUUUCAGAAAAGCCAGAAACAGAAGCUGUGGUAAAGGAAAAACUCACUGGUUUACAUAAAAUGUGGGAAGUCCUUGAAUCCACAACCCAGACCAAGGCCCAGCGGCUCUUUGAUGCAAAUAAGGCUGAGCUUUUCACACAAAGCUGCGCAGAUCUUGACAAAUGGCUACAUGGCCUGGAGAGCCAGAUUCAAUCUGACGACUAUGGCAAAGACCUUACCAGUGUCAAUAUUCUUCUGAAAAAGCAACAGAUGCUGGAGAAUCAGAUGGAAGUUCGGAAGAAAGAGAUCGAGGAACUGCAGAGCCAAGCCCAGGCGCUGAGUCAGGAGGGGAAGAGCACAGAUGAGGUGGACAGCAAACGCCUUACUGUGCAGACCAAGUUCAUGGAGCUUCUGGAGCCCUUGAGUGAGAGGAAGCAUAACCUGUUAGCUUCCAAGGAGAUCCAUCAGUUCAACAGGGAUGUGGAGGACGAAAUCCUAUGGGUUGGCGAGAGGAUGCCUUUGGCAACUUCCACAGAUCAUGGCCAUAACCUUCAAACUGUGCAGCUGUUAAUAAAGAAAAACCAGACCCUCCAGAAAGAAAUCCAGGGACACCAGCCUCGUAUUGAUGACAUCUUUGAGAGGAGUCAAAACAUCAUCACAGAUAGCAGCAGCCUCAAUGCCGAGGCUAUCAGGCAGAGGCUCGCUGACCUGAAGCAGCUGUGGGGGCUCCUCAUUGAGGAAACUGAGAAACGCCAUAGACGGCUGGAGGAGGCACACAAGGCGCAGCAGUACUACUUUGAUGCAGCUGAAGCCGAGGCAUGGAUGAGUGAACAGGAGUUGUACAUGAUGUCUGAGGAAAAGGCCAAGGAUGAGCAGAGUGCUGUCUCUAUGUUGAAAAAGCACCAGAUUUUAGAGCAAGCUGUUGAGGACUAUGCAGAGACAGUACACCAGCUCUCCAAGACUAGCCGGGCGCUGGUGGCUGACAGCCAUCCCGAAAGUGAGCGUAUUAGCAUGCGGCAGUCAAAGGUCGACAAGCUGUAUGCUGGCCUGAAGGACCUUGCUGAGGAGAGGAGAGGAAAACUUGAUGAGAGGCACAGGCUGUUCCAGCUCAACAGAGAGGUGGAUGACCUGGAACAGUGGAUCGCUGAGAGGGAAGUGGUCGCAGGCUCCCAUGAGUUGGGACAGGACUAUGAGCAUGUCACGAUGUUACAAGAACGGUUCCGAGAAUUUGCUCGAGACACAGGAAACAUUGGGCAGGAGCGUGUGGAUACAGUUAAUAACAUGGCAGAUGAACUCAUCAACUCUGGACAUUCAGAUGCUGCCACCAUUGCUGAGUGGAAAGAUGGUCUCAAUGAAGCCUGGGCUGACCUCCUGGAGCUCAUUGACACAAGAACACAGAUUCUUGCUGCCUCAUAUGAACUUCAUAAGUUUUACCAUGAUGCCAAGGAGAUCUUUGGCCGAAUCCAGGACAAACACAAGAAACUCCCUGAGGAGCUUGGAAGAGAUCAAAACACUGUGGAAACUUUACAGAGAAUGCACACCACCUUUGAGCACGACAUCCAAGCUCUGGGCACUCAGGUGAGGCAGCUGCAGGAGGAUGCAGCUCGCCUCCAGGCAGCCUAUGCAGGGGACAAGGCUGAUGACAUCCAGAAGCGUGAGAAUGAGGUCCUGGAAGCCUGGAAGUCCCUGCUGGAUGCUUGUGAGGGUCGCAGGGUGCGGCUGGUAGACACAGGAGACAAGUUCCGCUUCUUCAGCAUGGUGCGUGACCUCAUGCUCUGGAUGGAAGAUGUCAUCCGGCAGAUCGAGGCCCAGGAGAAACCACGGGAUGUGUCAUCUGUUGAACUGUUAAUGAAUAAUCAUCAAGGUAUCAAAGCUGAAAUUGAUGCUCGUAAUGACAGCUUUACAGCCUGCAUUGAGCUUGGGAAAUCCCUGCUGGCACGGAAACACUAUGCUUCUGAGGAGAUCAAGGAAAAGUUACUGCAGCUGACAGAGAAAAGAAAAGAAAUGAUUGACAAGUGGGAAGACCGGUGGGAGUGGUUAAGACUGAUUUUGGAGGUCCAUCAGUUCUCAAGGGAUGCCAGUGUGGCAGAGGCUUGGCUGCUUGGACAGGAACCAUACCUAUCCAGCCGUGAAAUUGGCCAGAGUGUAGACGAAGUGGAGAAGCUUAUUAAGCGCCAUGAGGCGUUUGAAAAGUCUGCAGCGACCUGGGAUGAGAGAUUCUCUGCUCUGGAAAGGCUGACAACGUUGGAGCUACUGGAAGUGCGCAGACAGCAAGAGGAAGAAGAAAGAAAGAGGCGGCCACCUUCUCCGGACCCAAACACGAAGGUUUCAGAGGAGGCUGAGUCCCAGCAAUGGGAUACUUCAAAAGGAGACCAAGUUUCCCAGAAUGGUUUGCCGGCUGAGCAGGGAUCUCCACGGGUUAGUUACCGCUCUCAAACGUACCAAAACUACAAAAACUUUAAUAGCAGACGGACAGCCAGUGACCAUUCAUGGUCUGGAAUGUGAAGUUCACUACCAUUUGUCAAGAACCACUCUGUCCACAUCCUUUGACCUUUUGGCUUCCACGUCACCCAGAGUGUUAAAAUUUUUACUUAAUUCAUAGCUGUCCUUGAUUUCAUAUUUGUUUGCAUUUAAUUUAUGUUUCUUUGGAUCCUCAUUGCCUCAAAGCAGCAUACUUAAUUUUUGUUUAUUUAUUGUGAGCUUUUUACUUUAAGAUUUUACAUGAGUAAUCAAAAUUAAAUUAUAGCAUAAUGAAAUUAGACUCUUAACAGGUACGGCACACACAAGUUAAUAGUACUCUGCUAUAGGUGCUAUGUUACUUACAAGUAUUAUUAACCUAUUGGCUUCCAUUGUAUAGUAGUUUAGUAACUAUGAAGACUGGUUUGUAAGGAAGGAAACGUUUACUACUAAGGUUAGGCCUGCAGUUGCUCUGGAACAUUCCAUGGAGAAUGCAUUCAUCAAACGGCCCGAAAGAAGCUACAUUUUGUUGGGAAGCUGGAUAAGUUUUAGGUGCAGGACCCCAAAUGUUCUGAGACCUUUGGGGCCAUUUAUUACUUUGUACAAGCCCAAUAAUCCUCUCUUUUCUGCCAAGUCCUCAACCCAGAAAUGUAGGCUUCUGUGCACCACACGGCACAGCCCACUGAUUGCUGCCACCGGCUCUGUCUUGGUCAGUGUUACCACUGCCAGCACUCAGGCUGUGGCAGAUGCCAGCAGCUCUUACCAUCAGUCAGAGUCUUCAGGGUGUCAAGCUGUUUUCAUUUUUUAGGCAAAUAGAACAAAAGCCAUUUUGGUUCAUCCUGAUCACUUGAAUGAUAGACUCAAUGCCCUGUGCCUGGCAGGGAGCGCUUGCAGAGGUGUCCUAGCCUUAGAGGGCUACUUCAGUGUCUCUACUGACAGAAACUCCUGUAUCUCAAAUGGAUCUCGAAGUUCUCUAGUAAGGAGUCCUAAGGAUGACAUGUAUUGGGCCACUAGCAGGGAUUGAAAACAUUUUAAAAGAAAUCCUUUUUCUUAGGAGUAAAAGCUGGUAAAAGGGGUGACUUCCUGGUUCUGAUCAAAACCAGACCAAACCCUCAUUUCAGCAAAGCCUUGCAAGACACUCCCUUGCUCAUUUGCCAUAUUUAGAUGUCUUAGUGGAGUCAGAGCCCUGUUUGGUAUGUGUUUUUCAUGCUAAGUCUAAAUUGUCUUUUCAUUUCAUGAUGCAUUUUUUCUCUUUUGUCAGGAUAACAUCAUAUAGCAUCUUGUUUGUUUUUCCUAAUCUCUAUGUACAUAUCUAUCUACCUGUAACCGUAGAUAGGUAUCUAGAUAGAUACCAAGCUUUUAAGCUCUGGGCUACUAUGCAUCAUUAUUGGGUCUCUGCCUUAAAACACAUCCAAAUUUAUAUUAGAAAAAAAAAAAAACUGUAUCUUUUUCUUUGGUCACUAAGAUCCCCUGACCAUGUCUUUAUGGCCACAAAUUAUACUGUGUCACUGAUCAUAUAUAUGUGUGUGUGUAUGUAUAUGUAUGUGUGUGUGUGUAUAUAUAUAUAUAUAUAUAUAUAUAGCCACACAUGAUCAUACUUAUAUAUGAUGUUUCCAUAUAUGUGCUGUGUGUUUAAGUUUUGUAUCAUCCAGACUGAUACCAAAUUUUAAGGUUUUUUUUUUUUUAACAAAGACAAUACACACAUAAGCACAUUAAAACAGGAAUGCUAUGAUACUGUUUAGCAUUUGCUCUGCUGCCUAUCUUUCUCUGUUUUUAAUUAACAAUUGGAUUUUAUUGGAAGAAGAAAAAGCAGUUUCAUUAUUUUGGAUGAUGAUGCAGAGACUCAUGUUAAUGAACUCGAAAAUGGUGUUGCUUCAUGUACUUUGAAAACCAAUCAGGUGUUUCCUGCGCUACUACUUGUCAUGUUGCAUUCAUGUUCACAUCCUGAUUUCACUGCCUCAGAUGUGCCUGGCCACAAAGCACUCUGAACUAAUUCCUAAAGAGAAGCAACAAUAUGUGUAUGUGGGGGGGUUGAUCACAUACAUGUACCAUCGUGUGAUCAUAGUACUAUGAUUUGCUUUUGACGUCUGUCCUAGUGAUGUGUGUUGUCUGCUGGCAUGCUUGCAGCACAUGUCCAUUAAAGGUCAUUUUGUUUAUUUGUUGGCAUGCUUACAACACAUGUCCAUUAAAGUUCAUUUGGUCCUUUUAUUUUCAUUGUUUUCUUGGUUAGUGAUUUCAUUUGCAUAAACAUUAAUUAUCUCUGCAUACUGGUGUGGGGUUUUCUCUUUCCUUCUAACUCCAGAGAAAAAAAUUUUUGCUGCAGAAUUCCCAUCAGAAGAGACUUCUUGUCUUCAACUUCCUUGAAGUGUGACCAGCUCUGAUAAAUUAUAGCCAUUUCUAGAUAAACUUCUGCCCACCCAGCCACUAGUGGUUUCCGCGUCAAAGCUGCAGCACUAAAUUUUUUUUUACCUGGUGUCUGUAUGUACUAACCCAUGUUUCUCUCCACUCACACCGGCUCAGCCUUCCACACCAACUCACAUGUGCUCCUUACAUGAGUUUCCUGAGAUUCCACUAGAAGAGAUUUGUCAACUGUAAGACCCCUCAACAUUCUUUUGACUUGGGCUUUGAUUACUUUCCCUCCCCCAAAAUAGUGAAAAGGGAAUCCAGGUGUAGUGGGGAUACUUGGCAAUCCUCGCCACUGGCAGAAGCAUUGGGAGUUUAAGCCCAUCCUGGGCAACAAAGCAAGACAAAACUAAGAGAGGAGGGGAAAGAGUGGUAGCCUGUUGCUCAGACCAUGCCCGCAGGCUGCUGCUUUCACAGCCAGGCCAACUAAGCACUCUGUCCCCCACCCCGUGUCUUUCUGCCCUGAUAAUCCAUUUACCAUAUUGGCAUGAGAAUAGAGAAUUUUAAUCAAAAACAACCUUAGGAUUGCAUAGUCUCCAGUCAAACCCUAAACCUUGGUGCUAAUUAUGCUAGUUUACCUAAGUUUAUAAUUCCAAACGCUUCUACAACGUUCUCAUUACUAUUUUUCCAGAAAAUUAGCUUUAUUUACAAUAAGCAGGCUCCAUUAAUCGAGAUAAGACCUAAGCAAGAGAGUUGACAGAUCUGAGUUUUGCAGUGGGAGUGGCCAGUCUACCGCUUAUACUGCGAAGGUUGCUGCUAACUGGGUGUCACUCUGACUCUGGACAGCAGUGGUGGGGGACUAUAGCUAAUGACUGUGCCAUUGAUACUUCCAUGUCUGUCUGUGUAUGAGGGGUGCAGGUUGUCUGUAAUCUACUAAAGCAUCAGCCACACCCAGCUUUAGUAACUUGCUAAUCCAUGCCCUGGGUAUAUCAGCCAGGGGCUGCUACAGUUAAUGGUACACAGUUGAUGGUACACAGGCCGAAAACGAUAAUGAAUCAAGACCCUACUACAUUUCCAAAGCCGAAAAACCGUGUGGGUUACAAUUUAAGUGAGCUUGGGAAGGAACGCUCCUGAAGACGUCUCCAGACUGAAGGGUCAAAGCCGCUGGAAGCCUGGCUGUCUCUGGGCUCCCGUCUCAGUGCAGCAAGGCACCGUGAUCAACCACCCGUGAUGGGGAAGGCCCUGGUUCAGUCUUUGUUUGGGGAUGGCAGGAACCAUGGAAACGAGUGAAAUGGUCAACGGUGCUGCUGAGCAGAGGACAAGCUCCAAAGAGUCCAGUCCUGUUCCCUCUCCCACCUUGGACCGAAAGGCCAAAUCUGCACUUCCAGCCCAGAGUGCUGCCACCCUGCCAGCCAGGACCCUGGAGACACCCGCUGCCCAGAUGGAAGGCUUCCUCAAUCGGAAGCAUGAGUGGGAGGCCCACAAUAAGAAAGCCUCGAGCAGGUCCUGGCACAAUGUAUAUUGUGUCAUAAAUAACCAAGAAAUGGGCUUCUAUAAAGAUGCCAAGAGUGCUGCUUCUGGCAUCCCCUACCACAGUGAGGUCCCUGUGAGUUUGAAAGAGGCCAUCUGCGAAGUGGCCCUUGAUUACAAAAAGAAGAAGCACGUGUUCAAGCUAAGACUAAGUGAUGGAAACGAGUACCUCUUCCAAGCCAAAGAUGAUGAGGAAAUGAACACAUGGAUCCAGGCUAUCUCCUCUGCCAUCUCCUCUGACAAACACGACACAUCUGCCAGCACCCAGAGUACGCCAGCAUCCAGUCGGGCGCAGACCUUACCCACCAGCGUCGUCACCAUCACCAGCGAGUCCAGUCCUGGCAAGAGGGAGAAGGAUAAAGAGAAAGACAAAGAGAAGAGGUUCAGCCUUUUCGGCAAGAAGAAGUGAACUUCCCUGUUGUCCCGCCCUUCUCUUACCUUUAGUAAGAGUCCAGCAUGCAAGUUCCGACCAACACAUUACUCUGUGCCUAAUGUUCCUCCAUGUAGUUGAUUUUUUUUCUUUUCUUUUUUUUUUAUUUUUGAAAUAAAUUUUUUAAUUUAUAGAGUAUUUCUGAGGGGUGGGGGAACCAUACCUAAACACUUUAUCUCCAAGUUUAAAAAGUUUGAGGUACAGAGGGAAGGCCAGAUUUUUUUAAUGAAAUUAUAUAGAUUAGAUCUCAGUAUUUAAACUGUUCCUCAAUUUUGUGAGGCUGUGUUGGAAAUAACCCGCCUCUGAUGCUGUUGGUAUGCAAGGCAGUGGUGCUUACACAAUAUUUCCUGUGCUCUCCAGAGACGAUGGACCGAUUUCCUGACACUACUCUCCCUUCACUUCCGUGGUUACCCUGAGUCUUGACUUACAAAUGCCCACGAUGGGUGUAGCCUUUAUUAAACAGAUCAUGUAUUCUGAUCUCUUGCUGCAGCCACAGUGCAGCUCCAUGUAAACCUACAGGCCAAACCAUUUGUAUCCGGCAUCACUUACUAACACACAACAUGUGGCUUUUCUGCAUCAAUUGCUGUGACAGUUCAGAAUGUUGGUAUACAAGAAAGAAUAGAAAAUUGAUAAGGUUUUAAAUAAUCUGUAAUUUCAGUCUCUUUUUUUCUGAAAUACAUUAUAUUGUAUGUUUGAGAUAAUUCUAGUACAAAGUAUAAUAAACUAGAUGUAUAAUAAACCCUUUAAAUCAUUGCUAAGUGUAUAAGUGGAACUGAAGCAUUUACUGGACAAAGUAAUGUUACUCUAAUGGUUACUUGCUUGUGCGUGGCCACACUGUUAUAAUUUGCUUCAUUACCCUGCUAUUUGAUACAUAGUGUGCAUUUCUCUGUCACUGUAACUAUUGUAAUAACAAAUUUUCAUCUUACUGCACAAUCAAAAUGGCAUCUAUAGUAAUGACCUCCAGAGUCUGAGCUUGGACAGAGAGUGGGCGCUCAGGCCUGGUGCUCCAUCAUACGACCUGUACCUCUCAACUUUUGCCCUGUUAAAUAUAUGCUAUGUCAUUAAAUGCUUUUAAAUCUA
RNA transcript from Mus musculus (house mouse), 12322 nucleotides. It is a transcript of the gene named spectrin beta, non-erythrocytic 1, with no coding region annotated. NCBI's taxonomy places the organism in Eukaryota, Metazoa, Chordata, Mammalia, Rodentia, Muridae. The record is from RefSeq and is marked validated. The transcript is spliced from 36 exons.